AGCUUUGUGCAGCAGCAGUAUCGUAGCCAAUGAGGUUUCUCCGAGGUGCGAUUAUUGCUAAUUGAAAACAUUUCAUGGGGUUUGAUAUUUUCGCUAUUUUCAUUCAAAAAACUUUUUCUUAUUAAUUUCUUCACUGACUCAUUGGUC
Small nuclear RNA from Ochotona princeps (American pika), 147 nucleotides. RefSeq annotates it as U4 spliceosomal RNA. The record is from RefSeq and is a predicted model, not a curated record. The transcript has a single exon. Lineage: Eukaryota; Metazoa; Chordata; Mammalia; Lagomorpha; Ochotonidae.